Molecule: non-coding RNA, 4435 nt
Organism: Microcebus murinus (gray mouse lemur)
Lineage: Eukaryota; Metazoa; Chordata; Mammalia; Primates; Cheirogaleidae
Source: RefSeq, a predicted model, not a curated record
UCUGAUCACCAUCACUGGGUUUUGGUGUCACCAACAGUUUCCUGUAAAUGGAUGUUAAAGAAGAUAUACUCCAAGACUUACUCUCUGCAGUUAUGAUUAUGAACAUCUGUUCAUGUUUACAGAGGACCCAGAUUAAGUUAGAAACUGUCAGAGCAAAGAACGCACAAGGAAAUGCCCACACUCUUCAAUCUUUUUUACUUUUAUCAACAAAUGUGACAAGGUACUCAGGGCGCAGGUUCAUGAAGCCGAUGUCCCCAAGGAGAGACCCUUUUAUCAGGAUCCUCAAAGCAGCGUCCGUGAGAAGAAGACUCUGUCUCAAAGGCUGGAACUUGACCACGAAUCGAGCGUGCCUGGGUACACCAGCCUCGCCUGCAAGCACGCUCCAAGAGGAGUUGUACCAGUGAUUUUCUCUGGCCCAGGCCACCCCACAGCGGGUUUCACUCGCCUGUCCCCGUCUCAUCACCUUUGCUUCUCUGUGCACCCUCCCUUCUUCGCUCUUCUCUCCCAGACACGGGCCCACAAAUGCCUCCUCGUGCCUCAGACGGGACGGCUCGCCCAUCCUCUGGCGUCCUCUGUCCCAGGGGACUCCAUCGGGCAUCUCCCCAAACAGAGACGGUUCCUCCUGAAGAGGGAUUCUGCCACUGCGAAGAUGCCGCUUGUUAAGAUGCUACAGUAGUCUUCAACGUGCUGUGUUACCGACAAUAACGAUAACAAUACUAGCAUCCACAAUUGUUAAAUGCUCCCCAUAAGCCAGACACGCACUCUGUAUUAUGUCUUUUAAACUUCACAACAAUUCUACCAGGCAGCCACUGGGGGAGGAGAGUGUUGGAAGGAACAAGGAGGAGGCUCAGAGAGCUGACGGGAGCGGAUCAGGCCACGGGAUGUCACUCUCCUACCUUGAGCGGUGGGUCACCUCUCAUCUUGUUAUUUGAUUGGCUUGCUAGCAAGGAGCGGCCGGGAUCUCUGCUAUGUUCAUCUCUGUGUACCUGGCAAAGCACCCGAGCCUGUAGAUUGGCCUAGCUGUAUGCCAGCCUGCAGGCUGUGGGUGGGAUGCAAUCUGCUCCUUGACCCCGCGGCUGUUCUGGGUCUGCUAGCCGAGCGCACGAGCCACCAAGCGGAGCGCACGAGCCACCAAGCGGAGUGCCAUCCAUUGCAGGCCUCGGCACGCGCCACACCCACUGACACUGUGUUGGCCGAAGCGAGUCACACGGCCCAGCCCAAGUCAAGGGAUGAGGAGGAACCCUCUGCCCGCCAUGGAGCCGCGGUCGAUGGGAAGAUGUACACUUCUAGCACGGGAGGAAGUACAGAUGUCCGGGCAUGACCCAGCCAGCCGCGAGAGUCUUUGGGAAAAGCGUGGGGUCUGCAGUCCCACGGCCGGUGGCGAGUCCCAGCUCCGCCACCUGCGGGUGCGUGCCCUACGUGACCUCCCUCGGCUCCCAGCUGCGGCCACCGUGUCCCUGGUUCCUGAGACGGUGUACCCUUCUCUGGAGGAGACGCCAGCGCCGCUCAGUGGCCGCCAGUAACAGGCGCGGGGCAAGCGGCAGGAGAACGCUCGGCGCCAUGUUGGCUCUUCACCCCCACAGCACCUUCUCCACGCCCCUCACACACGGUGUGGACUCGCUCACGGUGUGUGCCCCGACCAGAGAACAGGCUGGGGAGCCGGGAACCGACAGACCCACCAGGGCAGAGAGAAGGACGCCGACGGGAGAGCAAAUCCCAACUGUUAAGGUCACCAACUUCACAGAUCGUCCCAGCGCUGCCGCAAGGGCUUUGGAAGAGCUGUGGCUUUGUCACGGAGACCCCUUCUCACUCAGGCGUCCCUCCCGUCAACAAAGAUUGACCGAACGGCUGCCCUUCCCUGGGCUCUAAGGAUGGGGAAACUGAGGCACAGAGAGAUUCCUGCUGUCACUGAAUUCACAGCCUGUGUUAGCAAAGGUUCUCAGGAGAAAAAGAACCAAUAUUAGAUAUGUGUGUAUAUGUAUAACAUUAUACAUGUAAAGAGAUUUAUUAUAAAUAACUGGCUCACACAGUUGCGGAGGCUGAGAAGCCCUAUGAUGUGUAGUCAGCAGGCGGAGGGCGAUGGGCUGGUGGUGCCGUUUCAGCUCGAGUCCGAAGGCCGGAGAAUCAGGGGAGCCAACGAUGCGCGCUCCUGUCUGAAGGCCAGCAGGCUCCAGAACCAAGAAGAGCUAAUGUUUCAGCUUGAGCGCAAGGGCAGGAAAAGGCCGAUGCCCCAGCUCUCCGCAGUCAGGCAGAAGGAGCCCGCUCUUACUGGUGGGAGGGGCAGCCUUUUUGUUCUAGUCAGGCCUUCAACUGAUUGGACAAGGCCCACCACAUGGGGAGGGCCACUUGCUUUGCUCAAUCUACCCAUUCAAAUGUCAGUCUCAUCCAGAAACACCCUCACAGACACACACACACACCCAGAAUCAUGUUCGGGCAGAUAUCUGGGCACCCUGUAGCCCAGUCAGGUUGACACAUAAAAUCAACCAUCACAUAGCCUCACGGGAAAGGCAGAAACCGAAGAAGUAAACACAAGCGCAAUGAGGUUUAAGAGAGCGGGAGGCUAAUUCCAUAAAACACAGAGGAGUUAAAACUAGUUCACACAGCUAGUGACCGGCAGAGAACAGCUCGGGAGACCGACAGCCUUAUCUCCAGGCCUGUGUGCUGACGCCAGGCUGGCGUCUCACUUGGUUUUUUCCAACAAAAACAUCAAUGUUUGUUUCUAAACAGUCAGCCAGAUGACCUGUGUCCUCCAGAGGAGCUUCACUGGGGUGACCCUCUCAGGCAGAUAGGGUUAAUCAUGUGACAAUGCAGAUUUGUUGGCCAGGCAUUUCCUUAUGUGGUCAGCCCUGUGCUAAGCACAUAAACACGUGAGAGAGGUUCCUGCCUUCCUGGACUCUGCAGAUUCCUGGGAUUCCAUACCUCCACCUCCCUUCCUUGGGCUAAAGGAUUCCAUACACUCUAAAUGGAGAGCGUUCAUUUGCCUAAUGAGCUGCAGACAGUAGGAUGACCCCCAGAUCGCAGGCUCAAGCAUUGCUUAAUUUUGCACGUGAGCACCCACCGCAGUUUCAUUGCAACAAAAAUGGGCCCGAGGUCAUCUUGGUAAAGGGUAAACCAAUAUUUGUUCUUGAUUUUGAAAGAAGGCCGGGAUUAAAUCUGCCUGUCCCAGCCGUGCCUGGCUGAGCUUAUGAGAAGGUGACUUUUCCAUUAAAAGCCCAGCUCAUGUUUUAUGUAUUUCUAAAGAGCCACAAUUUGAACUUAAUUCCUCCGUUAAGACAAGAACCCCAAAGUUACUAUUUAUUAUAAAAUGUCACACGCAGCCAGAGGCCUUGAUGGGUCAGGGAGGGCUGGGCGACGUAUACUUGAGAAGUAAUAAAAUUGACACUGAGUGACUUCCAGACCCGGAGAGUUGCCCUAAGAGUUCAAGAAUAGAAAAUCUGAAACCAAACCAUGAAUAAAUCUUGGGAAAGUUGAUAGCGGAGCUUUAAAGAAAGGAAGCCGGUAAAUAGGCUGAGUCGAAAUUGUGAAUUCGCGUGAUGAGGGUUAAAGGAAGUGACCUCAGGUUGGCAGUGAAUUGUAGAGGGUUAUUACGUGCAUAAAGUGGGCACCUCACCAAGGGUGCCUCCUUUAAAGCAGUAUCCUUACCCACGUAGCUUCCAGCUGACACUCACAGCAGGCAGGGACAACCUCCCUUGGGACCCACAGCUAGUAAGUGGCAAAGCCAGGAUUUGCACUCAAGUCCGUCUGGGUUAAUACAUGUGAAGGGCUCAGAACAGGGGGGCCAGGCACCACACAGAAAUCACUUUAUCUAUGCUGGCUAUCAUCAUCAUCAUCAUUAUUAUUAUUAUAUUUCGAAGCCUAAAGACAAGGCCAGCUUUCUUUACCGUGGGUCUCAGAGUGAGCCCUUCAAAGAUUCUCCAUGGUGUCACCUGAAAGUUGACUCAAGUUGAUGUGCUGCCCAAGUGGAUCAGGGUAGAAACUACUAGCCAUAAUUGGCUAAUUCCCCCACCCACCGCAGCCCCAAGACACCACAUGUAGCAAUAGCUUUUAUUACCCAUUUUAUCUUGUGGUUCGCUUUCUUUAAUUUACUAACGUCCGUGUGCAUCUUUCCACACCGGCACACGGAGCCCUACCCACUGUCCACAGAGGCUGCCCGGCAGUCCCUCGUACUGCUAUAUUGCGGUUUAAGUGACUGUUCCCUUGUAUCGCUGGACACUUUGGUUCUUGUCGUUUUUUUCAACAUGAAAAACAAUGCUGCCCUGAGCAUCCCGGUACGCUAACCUUGUAUGCUUAUGUUAGAAUUUCUGCAGGAUAGAUUCCUACAAGUGGGGUGACUGGUCAAUGGUGGACACAUUCAAAAUGUUGAUAAUGCCAAGCUUCCCUCCCUAAAAGUCCUGUCUACACUUUCACCAACAUUAGAGAUUUCCCAUUUUCUUCA